GAUACGGCCAUAUCUACUGAAACGCACCGGAACCCAUCAGAACUCCGAAGUUAAACCAGUAUGAGCUUAAUCAGUACUAAGAAGGGCGACCACUUGGG
This 98-nucleotide ribosomal RNA is filed under the name Nosema cheracis. Lineage: Eukaryota; Fungi; Microsporidia; Nosematidae. The record is from RNAcentral.